This 343-nucleotide unclassified non-coding RNA is filed under the name soil metagenome. Its description in RNAcentral is "partial contains 5.8S ribosomal RNA, internal transcribed spacer 2, and large subunit ribosomal RNA". The stretch from base 1 to 120 matches the Rfam family "5.8S ribosomal RNA", at positions 35 to 154 of the family's 154-position model. The record is from RNAcentral.
GAUGAAGAACGCAGCGAAAUGCGAUAAGUAGUGUGAAUUGCAGAAUUCAGUGAAUCAUCGAAUCUUUGAACGCACAUUGCGCCCGCCAGCAUUCUGGCGGGCAUGCCUGUUCGAGCGUCAUUUCAACCCUCGACCUCCCUUUGGGGAAGUCGGCGUUGGGGACCGGCAGCACACCGCCGGCCCUGAAAUGGAGUGGCGGCCCGUCCGCGGCGACCUCUGCGUAGUAAUCCAACUCGCACCGGAACCCCGACGCGGCCACGCCGUAAAACACCCAACUUCUGAACGUUGACCUCGAAUCAGGUAGGACUACCCGCUGAACUUAAGCAUAUCAAUAAGCGGAGGA